AUUGAACGCUGGCGGCAUGCCUUACACAUGCAAGUCGAACGGUAACGUGUCCUUCGGGAUGCCGACGAGUGGCGAACGGGUGAGUAAUAUAUCGGAACGUGCCCAGUAGUGGGGGAUAACUGCUCGAAAGAGCAGCUAAUACCGCAUACGACCUGAGGGUGAAAGGGGGGGAUCGCAAGACCUCUCGCUAUUGGAGCGGCCGAUAUCAGAUUAGCUAGUUGGUGGGGUAAAGGCCUACCAAGGCAACGAUCUGUAGUUGGUCUGAGAGGACGACCAGCCACAGUGGGACUGAGACACGGCCCAGACUCCUACGGGAGGCAGCAGUGGGGAAUUUUGGACAAUGGGCGCAAGCCUGAUCCAGCAAUGCCGCGUGCAGGAAGAAGGCCUUCGGGUUGUAAACUGCUUUUGUCAGGGAAGAAAUCUUCUGGGCUAGUACCCCGGGAGGAUGACGGUACCUGAAGAAUAAGCACCGGCUAACUACGUGCCAGCAGCCGCAGUAA
RNAcentral lists this ribosomal RNA (500 nucleotides) under uncultured bacterium. Its description in RNAcentral is "partial 16S ribosomal RNA". It matches the Rfam family "Bacterial small subunit ribosomal RNA", at positions 30 to 523 of the family's 1533-position model. The record is from RNAcentral.